This 465-nucleotide ribosomal RNA is filed under the name Vreelandella stevensii. Its description in RNAcentral is "partial 16S ribosomal RNA". It matches the Rfam family "Bacterial small subunit ribosomal RNA", at positions 338 to 795 of the family's 1533-position model. The record is from RNAcentral. Lineage: Bacteria; Pseudomonadati; Pseudomonadota; Gammaproteobacteria; Oceanospirillales; Halomonadaceae.
CCUAGGGGUGGCUGCAGUGGGGAAUAUUGGACAAUGGGCGAAAGCCUGAUCCAGCCAUGCCGCGUGUGUGAAGAAGGCCUUCGGGUUGUAAGGCACUUUCAGUGGGGAAGAAAGCCUUGGGGCUAAUACCCUCGAGGAAGGACAUCACCCACAGAAGAAGCACCGGCUAACUCCGUGCCAGCAGCCGCGGUAAUACGGAGGGUGCGAGCGUUAAUCGGAAUUACUGGGCGUAAAGCGCGCGUAGGCGGUCUGAUAAGCCGGUUGUGAAAGCCCCGGGCUCAACCUGGGAACGGCCUCCGGAACUGUCAGGCUAGAGUGCAGGAGAGGAAGGUAGAAUUCCCGGUGUAGCGGUGAAAUGCGUAGAGAUCGGGAGGAAUACCAGUGGCGAAGGCGGCCUUCUGGACUGACACUGACGCUGAGGUGCGAAAGCGUGGGUAGCAAACAGGAUUAGAUACCCGAGUAGUC